Non-coding RNA from Potamilus streckersoni, 78 nucleotides. The record is from the annotation of a GenBank genome assembly. Lineage: Eukaryota; Metazoa; Mollusca; Bivalvia; Unionida; Unionidae.
GACCGCUACGGUGGCCAAAGUGGUUUGAGCGUCCUCCUAGAAUGCGGGAGGUCGCGGGUUCGAAUCUCGUUCUAGUCA